Molecule: RNA transcript, 1473 nt
Organism: Solanum lycopersicum (tomato)
Lineage: Eukaryota; Viridiplantae; Streptophyta; Magnoliopsida; Solanales; Solanaceae
Gene name: triosephosphate isomerase, chloroplastic
Source: RefSeq, a predicted model, not a curated record
ACAACUCUGCACCAAGCUUUACAUGCAUAUUAAUAAUGUUUUGAUUAUUAUAUUCUCUCUACGUGUACAUGAGUUAGUAUUAAAAGUAUUUUUUUAAAGUAAAAGUGAUCAGAUACAGAUGUUCUGAAUAGUAACAGCAGUUUGUUAGCAGAUAGAUAAGUGAAAGGUGGCCAUUUUUGUUUCGGAAAUGGCAACUUCUUUAGCUUCUCAACUUUCUGGUCCAAAAUCCGCCAUUGCCUUUUCCACUCCACCACACUUUUCUGGUCUCCGUCCAUCUUCUAAUUUCAAGCUUGACAAUACUCGCUCUUUUUUCCAAAAUGUGGACUCUCACAAAGGUUGCAGACCCGUCGUCUCCAUGGCUGGCUCCGGCAAGUUCUUUGUUGGUGGCAACUGGAAAUGUAAUGGAACAAAGGACUCCAUAAGCAAGCUUGUAUCUGAUCUGAACAGUGCGAAACUCGAGUCAGAUGUUGAUGUGGUUGUUGCACCUCCCUUUAUGUACAUUGAUCAAGUGAAGAGUUCACUAACUGAUAGGAUUGAGAUUUCUGGUCAGAAUUGCUGGACUGGCAAAGGUGGAGCUUUCACGGGUGAAAUCAGCGUGGAACAGUUGAAAGAUAUUGGCUGCAAGUGGGUCAUUCUUGGUCAUUCUGAGCGGAGACAUGUAAUUGGAGAAAAUGAUGAAUUUAUUGGGAAGAAGGCCGCUUAUGCCUUAAGCCAGAAUGUUGGAGUGAUAGCCUGUAUUGGAGAGCUAUUGGAAGAAAGAGAAGCUGGAAAAACUUUUGAUGUAUGUUUCAACCAGUUGAAGGCUUUUGCCGAUGCUUUACCAAGUUGGGAUGAUGUGGUCAUCGCAUAUGAGCCUGUAUGGGCCAUUGGAACUGGUAAAGUGGCGUCACCUGAGCAGGCUCAGGAGGUCCAUGCAGCUGUUCGUGAUUGGCUAAGUAAGAAUGUUUCUGCAGAAGUUGCUUCUAAAACACGCAUCAUAUAUGGAGGCUCUGUGAACGGAGGCAACUCUUCUGACCUGGCAAAGAAAGAAGAUAUUGAUGGCUUUCUAGUUGGGGGUGCUUCUUUAAAGGGUCCUGAGUUUGCCACCAUUAUUAAUUCUGUAACAUCCAAGAAGGUAGCUGCUUGAUCAUUUGUCAUGGGUUGUAGUCGUGGAAACAAAUGGCGUAGAGAAAUAGCAGUGCUGGAAGCAUCAGAUGGCUAAUUUACGAAGGAGUUUUAUCUAGUGGAAUUUUGAUAUGCUGACAAAGACGAUACCGAAAGACAAGUUCAAGUUAUGCAAAGAACUUGUGGGUAUGAGCUCUCUCUAAAGAAAAUGAAGAUACCUCCUUCUAGUGAAUGGGACUGGAGGGGGAGAUUUGUGGAGUCCAUCCCAUAUUUUUGGUCAACUUUUGCUAUUCAAUUGCUACAAGUAAUUGUUAAAAAAAGAAUAGUAAUUAGAGUUGAAUAUAAAAGAUUUGAUAGUUGGCAUAUUAG